AGUGAACGCUGGCGGUAGGCCUAACACAUGCAAGUCGAACGGCAGCACAGUAAGCUCUUGCUCUUACGGGUGGCGAGUAGCGGUCGGGUGAGGAAUACAUCGCAAUCUACUUUUUCGUGGGGGUUAACGUAGGUACACUAACGCUAAUACCCCAUACGACCUACGCUUAUUAGCAGUGGAUCUUCGGACCUUGCGCGUUCGAUCUAUCCGCUGAUGGGUUAGCUAGCUGGCGGGGUAAAGGCCCAUCGAGGCGACGAUCCGUAGCUGGUCUGAGAGGAGAGUCAGCCACACUGGAACUGAAACACGGUCCAGACUCCUACGGGAGGCAGCAGUGGGGAAUGUUGGACUAGGGGCGCGAGCCUAGUCCAGCCAUACCGCGUGGGUGAAAAAAGCAUUCGGGUUGUGAAGCUCUUUUGUUGGGAAAGAAAAGCAGCAGGUUAAAACCGCGCUGUUAUGACGGUACCCAAAGAAUAAGCACCGGCUAACUUCGUG
This 492-nucleotide ribosomal RNA is filed under the name uncultured bacterium. Its description in RNAcentral is "partial 16S ribosomal RNA". It matches the Rfam family "Bacterial small subunit ribosomal RNA", at positions 29 to 507 of the family's 1533-position model. The record is from RNAcentral.